AGUGAACGCUGGCGGUAGGCCUAACACAUGCAAGUCGAACGGCAGCACAGGAGAGCUUGCUCUCUGGGUGGCGAGUGGCGGACGGGUGAGGAAUACAUCGGAAUCUACUCUGUCGUGGGGGAUAACGUAGGGAAACUUACGCUAAUACCGCAUAUGACCUACGGGUGAAAGCAGGGGACCUUCGGGCCUUGCGCGAUUGAAUGAGCCGAUGUCGGAUUAGCUAGUUGGCGGGGUAAAGGCCCACCAAGGCGACGAUCCGUAGCUGGUCUGAGAGGAUGAUCAGCCACACUGGAACUGAGACACGGGCCAGAGUCCUACGGGGGGCAGCAGUGGGGAAUAUUGGACAAUGGGCGCAAGCCUGAUCCAGCCAUACCGCGUGGGUGAAGAAGGCCUUCGGGUUGUAAAGCCCUUUUGUUGGGAAAGAAAUCCAGCUGGCUAAUACCCGGUUGGGAUGACGGUACCCAAAGAAUAAGCACCGGCUAACUUCGUGCCAGCCGCCGCUGUAA
Molecule: ribosomal RNA, 506 nt
Filed under: uncultured bacterium
Lineage: Bacteria
Description: partial 16S ribosomal RNA
Rfam family: Bacterial small subunit ribosomal RNA
Source: RNAcentral